RNAcentral lists this unclassified non-coding RNA (231 nucleotides) under fungal sp. Its description in RNAcentral is "partial internal transcribed spacer region". The stretch from base 1 to 52 matches the Rfam family "Eukaryotic small subunit ribosomal RNA", at positions 1780 to 1831 of the family's 1831-position model. The record is from RNAcentral. Lineage: Eukaryota; Fungi.
AACUAAAAGUCGUAACAAGGUAACCGUAGGUGAACCUGCGGUUGGAUCAUUAUUAAAUGAUAGCCAGUUCUCUUUGCUUCGGCAGAGAUAGAGCAGGCAUUUACCCUUUGUGAACUGUAUCUUAUUUUGGGUGCAGCUGUUUCUGACGGUAGCACUCAUUAUAAACCCCUAUAUGAUUAACUGAAUGUGAUCUAAGAGUAACAACUUUUGACAAUGGAUCUCUUGGCUCUC